AAAACAAGUAAAAAUAAAAUUAGACAAAAAAUAAAUUAUAAAAGAAAAUUUGCACAUGCUACCACCAACCCAUUUAACUAAUUAAUAUGUAAUUAUUGUAUUCUGUCCCCACAUUUCCUAUAUAAAAGUAUGUGUUCUAUUCUACACAUUCUAUAGACUUGCUCCCCAACUAAGAGCGUUAAUGGUUCUAUUUCUUCAAGAAAUUCAAAAAAUGGCUCACUUGAGGGAACUGUUAUUAUUUUUCCUAGUUUCUAUUACACUAGUAGCAGCAGCAACAAGUUUUUCCAAAGUAGAAACCGGCGAAGAAGCACGGCGAGAGGCGGACAGAGUGACCAGCUUGCCUGGACAACCGCCGGUGAGAUUUAGGCACUAUUCCGGUUAUGUUAAUCUGAGACGCAAUGAUCAGAAGGCAUUGUUCUACUGGUUUUUCGAAGCUGAAGAUGGUGUCUCACAAAAGCCUCUUGUUCUUUGGCUAAAUGGAGGACCUGGAUGCUCCUCCAUAGCCUACGGUGCAGCACAGGAACUUGGCCCUUUUCUUGUUCGCAGAGAUGGGAGUCAGCUUAUCCUUAACAAGUACUCUUGGAACAAAGUUGCAAAUAUGUUAUUUCUGGAAGCACCAGUGGGUGUGGGCUUUUCGUACACAAACAAUUCCAAAGAUUUGCAUGAGCUUGGUGAUCGAGUUACAGCAGAUGAUUCUCAUGCCUUCUUAAUAAAUUGGUUUAAAAGGUUCCCAAGUUUCAAAUCUCAUAAUUUUUAUAUAGCAGGGGAGAGCUAUGCUGGUCAUUAUGUA
This 790-nucleotide unclassified non-coding RNA is filed under the name Hevea brasiliensis (rubber tree). The record is from RNAcentral. Lineage: Eukaryota; Viridiplantae; Streptophyta; Magnoliopsida; Malpighiales; Euphorbiaceae.